GACGAACGCUGGCGGCGUGCUUAACACAUGCAAGUCGAGCGGAAAGGCCCUGCUUUUGUGGGGUGCUCGAGUGGCGAACGGGUGAGUAACACGUGAGUAACCUGCCCUUGACUUUGGGAUAACUUCAGGAAACUGGGGCUAAUACCGGAUAGGAGCUCCUGCUGCAUGGUGGGGGUUGGAAAGUUUCGGCGGUUGGGGAUGGACUCGCGGCUUAUCAGCUUGUUGGUGGGGUAGUGGCUUACCAAGGCUUUGACGGGUAGCCGGCCUGAGAGGGUGACCGGCCACAUUGGGACUGAGAUACGGCCCAGACUCCUACGGGAGGCAGCAGUGGGGAAUAUUGCACAAUGGGCGGAAGCCUGAUGCAGCAACGCCGCAUGCGGGAUGACGGCCUUCGGGUUGUAAACCGCUUUCGCCUGUGACGAAGCGUGAGUGACGGUAAUGGGUAAAGAAGCACCGGCUAACUACGUG
RNAcentral lists this ribosomal RNA (468 nucleotides) under uncultured bacterium. RNAcentral's name for it is "partial 16S ribosomal RNA". It matches the Rfam family "Bacterial small subunit ribosomal RNA", at positions 28 to 507 of the family's 1533-position model. The record is from RNAcentral.